RNAcentral lists this ribosomal RNA (433 nucleotides) under uncultured bacterium. RNAcentral describes it as "partial 16S ribosomal RNA". It matches the Rfam family "Bacterial small subunit ribosomal RNA", at positions 29 to 507 of the family's 1533-position model. The record is from RNAcentral.
AACGAACGCUGGCGGCAUGCCUAACACAUGCAAGUCGAACGAGACCUUCGGGUCUAGUGGCGCACGUGUGCGUAACGCGUGGGAACCUACCCUUAGGUUCCGAAUAACUCCCCUAGAGGUGUGCUAAUACCGGAUAAUGUCUUCGGACCAAAGAGUUUUCGCCUUUGGAUGGGCCCGCGUUGGAUUAGCUAGUUGGUAGGGUAAAAGCCUACCAAGGCGACGUUCCAUAGCUGGUCGGAGAGGAUGAUCAGCCACACUGGGACUGCGACACGGGCCAGACUGCUACGGAAGGCAGCAGUGGGGAGUAUUGGACACUGGGCGAAAGUCUGAUCCAGCAAUGCCGCGUGAGUGAUGAAGGCCUUAGGGUUGUAAAGCUCUUUUACCCGGGAUGAUAAUGACAGUAACGGGAGAAUAAGCUCCGGCUAACUCCGUG